UACGAAGGGGGCUAGCGUUGCUCGGAAUCACUGGGCGUAAAGGGUGCGUAGGCGGGUCUUUAAGUCAGGGGUGAAAUCCUGGAGCUCAACUCCAGAACUGCCUUUGAUACUGAAGAUCUUGAGUUCGGGAGAGGUCAGUGGAAUUGGGGGUGUAGCGGUGGAAUGCGUAGAGAUCCCCAAGAACACCAGUUGCGAAGGCGGCUGACUGGACACAUAUUGACGCUGAGGCUCGAAAGCAUGGGGAGCAAACAGG
This 253-nucleotide ribosomal RNA is filed under the name uncultured bacterium. RNAcentral describes it as "partial 16S ribosomal RNA". It matches the Rfam family "Bacterial small subunit ribosomal RNA", at positions 524 to 776 of the family's 1533-position model. The record is from RNAcentral.